RNAcentral lists this long non-coding RNA (3620 nucleotides) under Hordeum vulgare. Its description in RNAcentral is "long non-coding RNA (HVUL_LNC008477)". The record is from RNAcentral. Lineage: Eukaryota; Viridiplantae; Streptophyta; Magnoliopsida; Poales; Poaceae.
AGCAAAAGGUAGAAAUUUCUUCUCAGCGGUUGAGGGUACAUUACUAAGUGGUCACCCACAUGCAGCUAGUAGACCAUGGGAACCAUAGAAAGAUUCAUUACAUAACCAGUACCAAAGGAAGUCACAUGAGGAUCUCAACACAACUUCAGACAAUCAGAUACAAAUGCAAGGGCUACAGAAUUUACUAGUCACAGCUUAUCAUAAGUUCAUGUGUUGCCUCAAAAAGUUCUUCACUAAAUUAGGAGCUAGCUCAAAAACAAACGUGUUCUGCAUUUCUUCAACAGGAGAUAUAUGAAACCAGAAUUGGAAGUCGAGUGGUAGAAUUACUACUUCACAGCACCUUGCGAUAUGUUACCCAGAACAUCAUGAACUCUUUUGUCAUCUUGCGUUUCUUCAACGGGUGCUUUAUGAACUCAGGAAGGAACUUGGGUAACUGGGUUGCAGCAUGCAGUUUAGUUUCAUCAGUCUUAAUCGCACUCUGAAUGCCACCUGAUAGCUGGACAUGAGUCAAAUUACCAGUCAGAAAAACACAGCAGAACUAAUAAUAAAAUACAUUCAUUUAUACUCAGAGAGAGAAUACAAACCUUAGUGUAGCAGUAGCCAUGGAAACAUAACUGGCGCAAGAAUCUAUGAUUUUGNAUGUGAGCCACGCAAUCUUAUCAACCUUUGUACAAGCUGUGCAACAAAAACAACAAAGAGUAGGCAUCAUAUACACUUCAUUGUGUCACUUUGGAUCAUUAUUUCAUUAGUUGUGUCACUUUGGAUCAUUAUUUCAUUGGUUUGACCUGUUAUGGUUUAUAUGUAGAAUGCAUGCAACACUUUCUGAUGCCGCUCGAAAGGUCAUGUUUGAAUAUUUCAACAAGAAUAGUUAUGCAGUGAGGUUUCAUGAUGAGGAAAAUAUGUAUUUGAGUGUGUUGCACAAUUUCAAGUUGCUGUUUAUAAAUCUUUCAAAAAGGUAUUAUUAUUACUAAUAGUUGUAUUGAAUAUAUUACAGAAAUUAUUAACUUUAAAUUACAUUGCCUUUACAGGGAUUAUUAAAACUUAAAAUCACAUUGCCUUCACGACAAUCCAAACAGGACCUAAUGCACUGCUCUCUUUUUUUUGUGAUAAACUGAGGUUCUCCCCUGCCUCAUCAUUUUAUAAACGAAGCAAGACAGACAAAAUACAUAUCAGUUGAUCUAAAACUAAAAAAACAGAUUGACCUAGGUGACAUCAAACUUUCCUAAGCUAUAGAUAACAUAUCUAAGAAAUACAUAUCUUAUCCGAUUGGCAUACCUUUAAUAUAUACAAUGUUUUUUUACUCUGUAAAUCUAAGAAUACAUAUCUUAUCCGUUUGAUUUCUUAUUUACAGAAUAUUGUCACUGCAAUCUUUGAUUGCGAAUCUUCGUGGGAUUGAACUGAGGUCCUUGUUCAAUGAACAUGGUUACAAACGAAGGGUUGUAGAUAUGAAUGAGCCGGAGCGACAAUUGCUGGUUGUAUGCUUCAGGAAACUUCUUCAUGAGCAUCGCUGGAAGAAUGCUUGGAAUGGCCAGUGGAGUAUUGAUGAUUGCGAUUGUAUUGAUGAAGAUAUCAUUACUUUUAAGAUCACCUCCAAUAUGUAUGAAAACCCUGAAGAGCUUAUGACUGCUUAUAAAGCAGAUCUGAAGGCAUUUGCUAACCAAAUUAUCAAUAAAUUCAGAAUCAAUGGUUUCUACCCUGCAUACCUGAAACACUUUUUCGAUAAGCUGAAUAAUGAAACAGUGACCUGAGCUUAUUUUGUUGGUUAUGGGUAGUACAUGGAGUAUUUAGAAUACCAUCCUUCCAUGCUGGAUGUAACGGCUCAACUUGAUCUAAUAGAGGGAUGGUAUAUUUGCAUUUAUGAGAUUGGUUACGAGGAUUUGCAAAAAUUUUGAUAUCAUCCGUGAAUCUUUAGAUUGAAGCAGGUAUUAUCAUCACACGCCCAAAUCAAAGGUUGACGGAUGAUACCAAAUUCUUCCAAAUCCUCAUAACCAAUUUCAUGAAUGCAAAUAUACCAUCCCUCUAUUAGGCCAAGUCGAGCCGCUACAUCCAAUAUGGAAGAGUGAUAUUCUAAGCACUCCAUGUACCACACAUAACCAGCAAAAUAAGCCCAGGAAAGCUGAUCCUCCUUAUUGCCAAAGUAGUCUUGGUGCGUCAUUAUCGCUGCUUCACUAUUCAGCUCAUCGAAAAAUGUUUCAGAUAUGCAUGAUAGAAACCAUUGAUUCUGAAUUUAUUGACAAUUUGGUUAGCAAAAACCUUCAAAUUUGAUUUAUAAACAGUCAUAAGCUUUUCAGGGAUUUCAUACAUAUUGAAGGUGACCUCAAAAGUAAUGAUAUCUUCAUCAAUAUAAUCCCAAUCAUCAAUACUUCAUUGGUCAUUCCAAGCAUACUUACAGUGAUGCUCAUGAAGAAGUUUCUGAAGCAUACAACCAGCAAUUGUCGCUCCGACUCAUUCAUAUCUACAACCCUUCGUUUGUAACCAUGCUCAUUGAACAAAGACCUCAGUUCACUACCACAAAGAUUCACAAUCAAAGAUUGCAGUGACGAUAUCCUGUAAAUAAGAAUUCAAGCGGAUAAAAUUUGUAUUACUUAGAUUUACAGAGUAAAAAAGCAGUAUAUUCUAAUAAAGAUAUGCCAAUCGGAUAAGAUAUGUAUUCCUUAGAUAUGUUAUCUCUAGCUUAGGAGAGUUUAAUCUCACCUAGAUCAAUCUAUUUUUCUAGUUUUAAAUCAACAAAUAUGUACUUUGUCUGUUUUGCUUUAUUUAUAAAAUGAUGAGGCAGACGAGAACCCCCAGUUUAUCAUAAAAAACAAACAAACAGUGCAUUAGAUCCUGUUUGGAUUGUCGUAAAGGCGAUGUGAUUUUAAGUUUUAAUAAUUCCUAUAAAGACAAUGUAAUUUAAAGUUAAUAAUUCCUAUAAUAUAUUCAAUACAGCUAUUAGUAAUAAUAAUACCUCUUUAAAAGAUUUAUAAACAACAACUUAAAAUUAUGCAACACACUCAAAUAUAUAUGUUCCUCAUCAUGAAACCUCACUGCAUAACUCUUCUCCUUGAAAUAUUCAAACAUGACAUCUCAAGCGGCAUCAGAAAGUGUUGCAUGCAUUCUAGAUAUAAUGACAAGUCAAACCAAUGAAAUAAUGAUCCAAAAUAACACAAUGAAGCGUAUAUGAUGCCUACUCUUUGUUGUUUUCGUUGCACACCUUGUAUGCAACUUCUCUGUUAAGUUUCCGAAGAACGACAAAGUUAAUAUUCAGAUUAAAAUCAUUGUUCUCCCAGAUGUCAUCAAGCAAGGAAUAACCAUCACUGCAACAAAAAUAACAAAACAACAGUUAGCAAUAGCAUCCCUUAAUAAAUAAUGAUGGGUCAAUGAGAGAGUUCAAAAUCAAUGUACCCUUCUAAAUAAUUUUUGACAAGAGAAACAACUUCUUGAAAUCGAUUCGCUCUUUGACCGUCUGCUCCCCGUUGCAGUUUUGAAUGAAUGUGUGGAUGGGGAGAACGAAGACGAGCCGCUGCGAGGGGGCGACUUCUUCUCCCUCAGCCUACAUUUCUUAGAGGACGAGACAGGUCUGACAUUUCCAGAGGCACUUCCUUGUAGGGGUGACUUGGUGGCAGUUCCAACAGAAGUCA